UGGCAGUCAGAGGCGAUGAAGGACGUGCUAAUCUGCGAUAAGCGUCGGUAAGGUGAUAUGAACCGUUAUAACCGGCGAUUUCCGAAUGGGGAAACCCAGUGUGAUUCGUCACACUAUCAUUAACUGAAUCCAUAGGUUAAUGAGGCGAACCGGGGGAACUGAAACAUCUAAGUACCCCGAGGAAAAGAAAUCAACCGAGAUUCCCCCAGUAGCGGCGAGCGAACGGGGAGCAGCCCAGAGCCUGAAUCAGUGUGUGUGUUAGUGGAAGCGUCUGGAAAGGCGCGCGAUACAGGGUGACAGCCCCGUACACAAAAAUGCACAUGCUGUGAGCUCGAUGAGUAGGGCGGGACACGUGGUAUCCUGUCUGAAUAUGGGGGGACCAUCCUCCAAGGCUAAAUACUCCUGACUGACCGAUAGUGAACCAGUACCGUGAGGGAAAGGCGAAAAGAACCCCGGCGAGGGGAGUGAAAAAGAACCUGAAACCGUGUACGUACAAGCAGUGGGAGCACGCUUAGGCGUGUGACUGCGUACCUUUUGUAUAAUGGGUCAGCGACUUAUAUUCUGUAGCAAGGUUAACCGAAUAGGGGAGCCGAAGGGAAACCGAGUCUUAACUGGGCGUUAAGUUGCAGGGUAUAGACCCGAAACCCGGUGAUCUAGCCAUGGGCAGGUUGAAGGUUGGGUAACACUAACUGGAGGACCGAACCGACUAAUGUUGAAAAAUUAGCGGAUGACUUGUGGCUGGGGGUGAAAGGCCAAUCAAACCGGGAGAUAGCUGGUUCUCCCCGAAAGCUAUUUAGGUAGCGCCUCGUGAAUUCAUCUCCGGGGGUAGAGCACUGUUUCGGCAAGGGGGUCAUCCCGACUUACCAACCCGAUGCAAACUGCGAAUACCGGAGAAUGUUAUCACGGGAGACACACGGCGGGUGCUAACGUCCGUCGUGAAGAGGGAAACAACCCAGACCGCCAGCUAAGGUCCCAAAGUCAUGGUUAAGUGGGAAACGAUGUGGGAAGGCCCAGACAGCCAGGAUGUUGGCUUAGAAGCAGCCAUCAUUUAAAGAAAGCGUAAUAGCUCACUGGUCGAGUCGGCCUGCGCGGAAGAUGUAACGGGGCUAAACCAUGCACCGAAGCUGCGGCAGCGACGCUGAUGCGUUGUUGGGUAGGGGAGCGUUCUGUAAGCCUGUGAAGGUGUGCUGUGAGGCAUGCUGGAGGUAUCAGAAGUGCGAAUGCUGACAUAAGUAACGAUAAAGCGGGUGAAAAGCCCGCUCGCCGGAAGACCAAGGGUUCCUGUCCAACGUUAAUCGGGGCAGGGUGAGUCGACCCCUAAGGCGAGGCCGAAAGGCGUAGUCGAUGGGAAACAGGUUAAUAUUCCUGUACUUGGUGUUACUGCGAAGGGGGGACGGAGAAGGCUAUGUUGGCCGGGCGACGGUUGUCCCGGUUUAAGCGUGUAGGCUGGUUUUCCAGGCAAAUCCGGAAAAUCAAGGCUGAGGCGUGAUGACGAGGCACUACGGUGCUGAAGCAACAAAUGCCCUGCUUCCAGGAAAAGCCUCUAAGCAUCAGGUAACAUCAAAUCGUACCCCAAACCGACACAGGUGGUCAGGUAGAGAAUACCAAGGCGCUUGAGAGAACUCGGGUGAAGGAACUAGGCAAAAUGGUGCCGUAACUUCGGGAGAAGGCACGCUGAUAUGUAGGUGAAGUCCCUCGCGGAUGGAGCUGAAAUCAGUCGAAGAUACCAGCUGGCUGCAACUGUUUAUUAAAAACACAGCACUGUGCAAACACGAAAGUGGACGUAUACGGUGUGACGCCUGCCCGGUGCCGGAAGGUUAAUUGAUGGGGUCAGCGCAAGCGAAGCUCUUGAUCGAAGCCCCGGUAAACGGCGGCCGUAACUAUAACGGUCCUAAGGUAGCGAAAUUCCUUGUCGGGUAAGUUCCGACCUGCACGAAUGGCGUAAUGAUGGCCAGGCUGUCUCCACCCGAGACUCAGUGAAAUUGAACUCGCUGUGAAGAUGCAGUGUACCCGCGGCAAGACGGAAAGACCCCGUGAACCUUUACUAUAGCUUGACACUGAACAUUGAGCCUUGAUGUGUAGGAUAGGUGGGAGGCUUUGAAGUGUGGACGCCAGUCUGCAUGGAGCCGGCCUUGAAAUACCACCCUUUAAUGUUUGAUGUUCUAACGUUGACCCGUUAUCCGGGUUGCGGACAGUGUCUGGUGGGUAGUUUGACUGGGGCGGUCUCCUCCUAAAGAGUAACGGAGGAGCACGAAGGUUGGCUAAUCCUGGUCGGACAUCAGGAGGUUAGUGCAAUGGCAUAAGCCAGCUUGACUGCGAGCGUGACGGCGCGAGCAGGUGCGAAAGCAGGUCAUAGUGAUCCGGUGGUUCUGAAUGGAAGGGCCAUCGCUCAACGGAUAAAAGGUACUCCGGGGAUAACAGGCUGAUACCGCCCAAGAGUUCAUAUCGACGGCGGUGUUUGGCACCUCGAUGUCGGCUCAUCACAUCCUGGGGCUGAAGUAGGUCCCAAGGGUAUGGCUGUUCGCCAUUUAAAGUGGUACGCGAGCUGGGUUUAGAACGUCGUGAGACAGUUCGGUCCCUAUCUGCCGUGGGCGCUGGAGAACUGAGGGGGGCUGCUCCUAGUACGAGAGGACCGGAGUGGACGCAUCACUGGUGUUCGGGUUGUCAUGCCAAUGGCACUGCCCGGUAGCUAAAUGCGGAAGAGAUAAGUGCUGAAAGCAUCUAAGCACGAAACUUGCCCCGAGAUGAGUUCUCCCUGACUCCUUGAGAGUCCUGAAGGAACGUUGAAGACGACGACGUUGAUAGGCCGGGUGUGUAAGCGCAGCGAUGCGUUGAGCUAACCGGUACUAAUGAACCGUGAGGCUUAACCUUACAACGCCGAAG
RNAcentral lists this ribosomal RNA (2883 nucleotides) under Escherichia coli. RNAcentral's name for it is "bacterial LSU rRNA". It matches the Rfam family "Bacterial large subunit ribosomal RNA". Lineage: Bacteria; Pseudomonadati; Pseudomonadota; Gammaproteobacteria; Enterobacterales; Enterobacteriaceae. The record is from RNAcentral.